CUCUGGGCGCCGUAGAGGGGUUAGCGGAGCCUGCUUUGUGCGGUAGGGCGUCUCGGGCUGCGGCCUUUGCCGCCCAAAGGUCGAGAGGGGGGUGCAGGGAUUGGCGAACAGAGAAAGCACUUGAAGGAGCUAAGGGGGCCCUGUGGGCUCCACUAAGUCGAGAACCUGUGGCUUCGGUUUUCCCGCCUAAAGGCCCCAAAUUUAGAAACCGAACACUAACGAGACUAGCAGACUCAAGAUCCUUUGUCUAGGAGACUGAUGUCUUGGUUUGGUUUCCAGGAUGCUCCAGUCACCUCUGGAUACUUCACUGUUCGUCAACGUCUUUCUUAAAAUGUGCCACUAAAAAAAAUCAAAUAUAAUA
Molecule: long non-coding RNA, 361 nt
Organism: Balaenoptera ricei (Rice's whale)
Lineage: Eukaryota; Metazoa; Chordata; Mammalia; Artiodactyla; Balaenopteridae
Exons: 3
Source: RefSeq, a predicted model, not a curated record